AAUGAAAUGGCUGAACGUAAGCAUUAAACUGUAAAUUUAAUUAUAGGAAUUUUUAUCCUUUUCGUUA
This 67-nucleotide transfer RNA is filed under the name Friesea antarctica. RNAcentral describes it as "tRNA-Tyr". It matches the Rfam family "tRNA". From Rfam's summary of the family: Transfer RNA (tRNA) molecules are approximately 80 nucleotides in length. Their secondary structure includes four short double-helical elements and three loops (D, anti-codon, and T loops). Lineage: Eukaryota; Metazoa; Arthropoda; Collembola; Poduromorpha; Neanuridae. The record is from RNAcentral.